AACGAACGCUGGCGGCAUGCCUAACACAUGCAAGUCGAACGAGACCUUCGGGUCUAGUGGCGCACGGGUGCGUAACGCGUGGGAACCUGCCCUUAGGUUCGGAAUAACUCCCCGAAAGGGGUGCUAAUACCGGAUAAUGUCUUCGGACCAAAGAUUUAUCGCCUUUGGAUGGGCCCGCGUUGGAUUAGCUAGUUGGUAGGGUAAAAGCCUACCAAGGCGACGAUCCAUAGCUGGUCUGAGAGGAUGAUCAGCCACACUGGGACUGAGACACGGCCCAGACGAGGAAGGGAGGGAGUAGGGGAGGAGAGGGAAGAGGGGGCAAACGGCGGCGACAGCAGAGGCGGGGGGGUGAUGCAGGGAUUAGUGGUGUAAAGAUUUUUAGAGCGGGAUGAUAAUGACAGGACAGGGAGAAUAAGCUCCACGUACCGCCGUGACAGCGGCCGUGGUAACAAGAGGAGGAGCAGUCGUCUGAGU
RNAcentral lists this ribosomal RNA (474 nucleotides) under uncultured bacterium. RNAcentral describes it as "partial 16S ribosomal RNA". It matches the Rfam family "Bacterial small subunit ribosomal RNA", at positions 33 to 541 of the family's 1533-position model. The record is from RNAcentral.